UACAGAGGGUGCAAGCGUUGUUCGGAAUUAUUGGGCGUAAAGGGCGCGUAGGCGGUGCGGUAAGUCUGUAGUGAAAUCUCUGGGCUCAACUCAGAGUCUGCUGCAGAAACUGCCGUGCUUGAGUGUGGGAGAGGUGAGUGGAAUUCCCGGUGUAGCGGUGAAAUGCGCAGAUAUCGGGAGGAACACCUGUGGCGAAAGCGGCUCACUGGACCACAACUGACGCUGAGGCGCGAAAGCUAGGGGAGCAAACAGG
This 253-nucleotide ribosomal RNA is filed under the name uncultured bacterium. Its description in RNAcentral is "partial 16S ribosomal RNA". It matches the Rfam family "Bacterial small subunit ribosomal RNA", at positions 524 to 776 of the family's 1533-position model. The record is from RNAcentral.